CCUACGGGAGGCAGCAGUGAGGAAUAUUGGUCAAUGGCCGGAAGGCUGAACCAGCCAUGCCGCGUGAAGGUCAGUGCCCUAUGGGCGUUAAACUUCUUUUGUGCGGGAGCAAUAAUGGUCACGUGUGGCCAGACGAGAGUACCCUACGAAUAAGCAUCCGCUAACUCCGUGCCAGCAGCCGCGGUAAUACGGGGGAUGCAAGCGUUAUCCGGAUUUAUUGGGUUUAAAGGGUGCGUAGGCUGUGAGGUAAGUCAGCGGUGAAAUGCCCCCGCUCAACGGGGUGAAGUGCCAUUGAUACUGCCUGGCUGGAAUGCGGAUGACGUAGGAGGAAUGUGUGGUGUAGCGGUGAAAUGCAUAGAUAUCACACAGAACACCGAUUGCGAAGGCAUCUCACGAAUCCGCGAUUGACGCUGAUGCACGAAAGCGUGGGUAUCAAACAGGAUUAGAUACCCCAGUAGUC
This 460-nucleotide ribosomal RNA is filed under the name uncultured bacterium. Its description in RNAcentral is "partial 16S ribosomal RNA". It matches the Rfam family "Bacterial small subunit ribosomal RNA", at positions 338 to 795 of the family's 1533-position model. The record is from RNAcentral.